RNAcentral lists this long non-coding RNA (2390 nucleotides) under Anas platyrhynchos platyrhynchos (common mallard). RNAcentral describes it as "lncRNA (ENSAPLG00000026208.1)". Lineage: Eukaryota; Metazoa; Chordata; Aves; Anseriformes; Anatidae. The record is from RNAcentral.
AUGUGGCUGGGGGGUGAUGGUUCUCAGUGCAGCGACCAGCAAGAGCAGGGACUUGAGAGUGUGCUUUCAAGAGUACAUGCCAGGGCCCAAGAGCUGUAUCAGUCUAUCCAGCUGGUGGGAUGCUGCAUAAUUAGCCAUUCAUUCCUGCAGUUUCUUUUGUGCCUGGACUACAUGAAGAGUUUCCUUUCAAGUGCUGACCUGACUCCAGCAAGGAGAGUGAGCUGUCAAUACGUAAAAAUAAAGUCCUUUGUCCAACAACCCCCCUGAUGGGGGGACAGAGGGAAAUCAGGUCCUUCCCUGAAAGAGAUGGAGCAUGCACAGCUGAGAGAAGUUCUUGAAAUGGAAAGAAGUCACUGCUGAAGAAAUGUGCAUUGUUGGGAGUGACUGUGACAGGCAUGGGAAGAAUCACACAGCCAGGGAUAAAAGGAGGAAAGCCACUCCUCUUAGGAUGUUAAAAGAUCUGGGAAGAUCUGCUGUAGGCCAGGAAGCCAUUUAAAGGUUGCUGAACUAAAAACAAUUCUGGAGAAUAGACCUGGCUUUAUAAAGAGAAAAGUGAAUAGAGCCAAACAUGGCUCUCAGGUACUCCUCUCUCUCCAAAAUUACUGAACCUAGUCAUUGGGAUUCAUAGCUCUUCUUGCUAUUUUUGGGUUAUUUUAAGACAGAUAAGGAAUGUGGGAGAUCCCAUUAAAAGUGUGCCCAAUGUAGCAUCUUGUCUUGCAGACAAAAAAAUAAGUAGUGUUGGUUGGACACUGGGAGCAGAAAUUAUGUAACACAGAGCAUAUUUAAACCCCCAAAUUUCAGUUUACUUAGGAUUGUUAAUGGUUUAUCUAAAGGGAGGGGAAAGAAAAUGUAUGAGAUAGGAAGGAGAAUGAUGUGAACUGCUAAAGCACAAAGCAGACUUGGAACAUGAAAGAGGAAAACACGAUGCCAAAGUAAUUAGAUGAUAUAAGCAUAAGGCAGGAAAGUUAGCCAGCACUUAUCUUCAUUUAUAAAUAAUGCUUCUGGACAUUUCUUCCCAUCUCAUUUAUAGAGAUGAAUAUUCUGCUGUAAACCAGACCUGCUCUGAACAUCAGAAUCUCACCCUGGAAUAACCUAGGGGAUCUUAGCAGGAUAUGACAAUGCAGGAUAUGACUUUGCAGGUCAGAGCAGCACAGUAUAUCUCCCUGUUUUGAGUAUAUCAGAUGCCAGUACUUCAUGGUUAUACUUUCUGAGAUUGUACAAAACCAACCAACCAAAACAACAAUAACAAUAACAACAAACAAUAGGAAGACACAAAUCCUUGUUAGUCCAGUCUCAUGAAAGAUGUUGGUCCUCCUACUGAAGUGAACUCAAAAUCUUUUUUAUUGAACUGUGACGGAAUAGACCCUCUAAACAUGAAAUAGGAAUUUGAAGAAACACUCCCAAUCAACUCUGAAAUUUUCAAAGGUGACAUUGUCUCUGUAUGCCUGAUAGCCAAUGAACAAUAUAGGAAGGGGUAGGUUUGUGGUCCUUACAAAGCUUUGAAAGUCUCUGCCUCAACUUGCCACGCAUAUAGCUUGUGUUUGAUGCAACUCUUCAUCAUGAUUCAGUAUUUUACUUUGCAUAGAAAGUAGAGUUUUUUGUUGUUGUGUGUUUUUUUUUUUUUUUUUUGUGUGUGUUUUUUUUUUUUCCCCAAUGAAUAACUGCCAUGAUUUAAUUACUACUUAUGAUUUAAUAACUACUAUGAUUUAAUUCCGAUUCCAACAUUGUGCUGAAAUGAGUGCUUGCUGGUAACUUAUCUGGUUAACCUAUAAGCAAAUUGUCCAGGGAAGUAGAAUACAGAGGAGCAAAAUUUCUAGUUUUAAGAGUUGUUUAUGUCUUUAGACUUGCUCCAAAGCAUUUGUGAUGUAUCUGUUCACAGCUAACGUAUUUUUAAUCCAGGCUUUUCAGGGUUUCUGACUGGGUUCAUGUGCUAGAAGACAGAGCAUCAAAACCCUGUGGUCACCCUUGCUGGUGGUCUGUUAGUGGUGUACGGGGUGCCAGCUGGUUGUCAAUAAUGUUAUUUUUCCUUCUUUCUACCAUCUUCUAUGUCAUAGAAAGGUCAUGUUAAAGGCAUAACACUUAAUAAUACUUCAUGCUGCUUUCCAAAGCAGACGAUUAUUCAUGACUGCCAUAGAAAUGCCAGUAAAAUGCAAAUGUGAUUUCAACUCUGGUAGCAGAUAAAGAACAGGUAAAGUCACUUCAACAUUCUGCAUUCUGCAAAGGGGGAGGAAUUUUAGUGUUGUGGUUUUUUUUUUUUUUUUUUUUGUUAUUGUUUGUUUGUUUGUUUUCCUUAAUGAAAUGUACUCUGGGCUAUGAAAGUGUGAGGUCUCCUUACUUUUUAUAUAAUAAGUAAAUUAAUGAAUAAAUCAAAUAAAAUACAAAGUCCUUCA